RNAcentral lists this ribosomal RNA (1262 nucleotides) under metagenome. Its description in RNAcentral is "bacterial LSU rRNA". It matches the Rfam family "Bacterial large subunit ribosomal RNA", at positions 1609 to 2911 of the family's 2925-position model. The record is from RNAcentral.
UUAGAAAAGCUCCCACAUCAGCCCGUACCGCAAACCGACACAGGUAGGCAAGAAGAAUAUUCUAAGGUGCUCGAGUGAAUCACGGCUAAGGAACUCGGCAAAUUAACCCUGUAACUUCGGGAAAAGGGGUUCCCCGCUUCGGCGGGGACGCAGAGAAAUGGCCCAGGCGACUGUUUAUCAAAAACACAUGGCUAUGCUAAAUCGAAAGAUAAUGUAUAUGGCCUGACACCUGCCCGGUGCUGGAAGGUUAAGAGGGGAUGUCAUCCGCAAGGAGAAGCAUUGAAUCGAAGCCCCAGUAAACGGCGGCCGUAACGAUAACGGUCCUAAGGUAGCGAAAUUCCUUGUCGGGUAAGUUCCGACCUGCACGAAUGGUGUAACGAUCUGGGCACUGUCUCAGCCGUGAGCUCGGUGAAAUUGUGGUAUCGGUGAAGACGCCGGUUAAUCGCAUCGGGACGGAAAGACCCCGUGCACCUUUACUAUAGUUUUGCAUUGACUUUGGGUAAAUAAUGUGUAGGAUAGGCGGGAGAUUAUGAAGCGGUGUCGCCAGGCAUCGUGGAAUCAACCUUGAAAUACCGCCCUUUAUUUACCUGGAGUCUAAUCCCAAUUAUUUGGGAGACAUUGCAUGAUGGGUAGUUUGUCUGGGGUGGUCGCCUCCAAAAAAGUAUCGGAGGCUUCUAAAGGUCCGCUCAGCACGCUUGGUAACCGUGCGCAGAGUGCAAUAGCAUAAGCGGGCUUGACUGUGAGGCCUACAAGCCGAGCAGGAACGAAAGUAGAGUAUAGUGAUCCGGUGGUUCUGUAUGGAAGGGCCAUCGCUCAUAGGAUAAAAGGUACGCCGGGAUAACAGGCUGAUCUCCCCCAAGAGCUCACAUCGACGGGGAGGUUUGGCACCUCGAUGUCGGCUCGUCACAUCCUGGGGCUGGAGAAGGUCCCAAGGGUUCGGCUGUUCGCCGAUUAAAGUGGCACGCGAGCUGGGCUCAGAACGUCGUGAGACAGUUCGGUCCCUAUCUGAUGUGAUCGUUGGAAAUUUGAGAGGAUCUGACCUUAGUACGAGAGGACCGGGUUGGACGUACCUCUGGUGUAUCUGUUGUGGCGCCAGCUGCACUGCAGAGUAGCUAUGUACGGACGAGAUAAGCGCUGAAAGCAUCUAAGCACGAAACUUACCUCAAGAUGAGAUUUCCUUUAAGGGUCGUAGUAGACGACUACGUUGAUAGGCUACAGAUGUAAAGAUGGUAACAUCAAAGUCGAGUAGUACUAAUUACUCA